This 611-nucleotide ribosomal RNA is filed under the name Fittkauimyia sp. AUNT16.4. Its description in RNAcentral is "partial large subunit ribosomal RNA". The record is from RNAcentral. Lineage: Eukaryota; Metazoa; Arthropoda; Insecta; Diptera; Chironomidae.
UUCAAUACUAUUUAUUUAUUUAAAUAGUGUGCACUUCUCUUUUAGUAAGACGUUGUGAUCCAUUAGAAAUUGAUUAUUUUUAUUUAAAUAAUCAUUAGGCUAUCAAUAGAAUGAUAUUGAAGUUCAUCAAUUACAAAUAAUACAAUUUAUUAAUGAUUGUAUAUAUUGUAUUGUGAGCAUAUUAUAUCUGGUAUAGCUGUCUGAUGGAUUUUAAUGGUUAUAACAUUAAUAUAUUUUAUAUAUUACCCAUUWUUAUUUUUGGGAUUUAGUUAUAUGCCGGAUCAACAACGGUUUCAUUUGGGAUACCUUUUGGACCCGUCUUGAAACACGGACCAAGGAGUCUAUCUAGUGUGCAAGUAAAUGGGCAAUUGAAACCUAUUUGCAUAAAUAACUUAACUAUUAUUUAAUGGGAUUACAAAUAUAUGAAAUUUAUUUUUUAUAUAUUUUUCCAUCCCGGGGUAUUUUCAUAAUAUAUGUGAAUUUUAUUUAUAUAUAGAAAAUAUACCAUGAGCAUACUGGAUAUGACCCGAAAGAUGGUGAACUAUGCCUGAUCAGGUUGAAGUCAGGGGAAACCCUGAUGGAGGACCGAAGCAAUUCUGACGUGCAAAUCG